AACGCGAAGAACCUUACCAACCUUUGACAUGUCCAGUAUGGAUCUAGGAGACUAGGUCCUUCAGUUCGGCUGGCUGGAACACAGGUGCUGCAUGGCUGUCGUCAGCUCGUGUCGUGAGAUGUUGGGUUAAGUCCCGCAACGAGCGCAACCCUCAUCUUUAGUUGCCACCAGGUAAGGCUGGGCACUCUAAAGAAACCGCCGGUGAUAAGCCGGAGGAAGGCGGGGAUGACGUCAAGUCCUCAUGGCCCUUACAGGUUGGGCUACACACGUACUACAAUGGUGGUGACAGUGGGUUGCGAAGUCGCGAGACGGAGCCAAUACCCCAAAAGCCCAUCUCAGUUCAGAUUGCACUCUGCAACUCGAGUGCAUGAAGUUGGAAUCGCUAGUAAUCGCAGAUCAGCACGCUGCGGUGAAUACGUUCCCGGGCCUUGUACACACCGGAGUA
This 445-nucleotide ribosomal RNA is filed under the name uncultured bacterium. Its description in RNAcentral is "bacterial SSU rRNA". It matches the Rfam family "Bacterial small subunit ribosomal RNA", at positions 958 to 1398 of the family's 1533-position model. The record is from RNAcentral.